Molecule: ribosomal RNA, 487 nt
Filed under: Staphylococcus aureus
Lineage: Bacteria; Bacillati; Bacillota; Bacilli; Caryophanales; Staphylococcaceae
Description: partial 23S ribosomal RNA
Rfam family: Bacterial large subunit ribosomal RNA
Source: RNAcentral
AGAUUAAGUUAUUAAGGGCGCACGGUGGAUGCCUUGGCACUAGAAGCCGAUGAAGGACGUUACUAACGACGAUAUGCUUUGGGGAGCUGUAAGUAAGCUUUGAUCCAGAGAUUUCCGAAUGGGGAAACCCAGCAUGAGUUAUGUCAUGUUAUCGAUAUGUGAAUACAUAGCAUAUCAGAAGGCACACCCGGAGAACUGAAACAUCUUAGUACCCGGAGGAAGAGAAAGAAAAUUCGAUCCCCUUAGUAGCGGCGAGCGAAACGGGAAGAGCCCAAACCAACAAGCUUGCUUGUUGGGGUUGUAGGACACUCUAUACGGAGUUACAAAGGACGACAUUAGACGAAUCAUCUGGAAAGAUGAAUCAAAGAAGGUAAUAAUCCUGUAGUCGAAAAUGUUGUCUCUCUUGAGUGGAUCCUGAGUACGACGGAGCACGUGAAAUUCCGUCGGAAUCUGGGAGGACCAUCUCCUAAGGCUAAAUACUCUCUAG